RNAcentral lists this ribosomal RNA (253 nucleotides) under uncultured bacterium. RNAcentral describes it as "partial 16S ribosomal RNA". It matches the Rfam family "Bacterial small subunit ribosomal RNA", at positions 524 to 776 of the family's 1533-position model. The record is from RNAcentral.
UACGAAGGGUGCUAGCGUUGCUCGGAAUUACUGGGCGUAAAGCGCGCGUAGGCGGUUUGUUAAGUCAGGGGUGAAAUCCUGGAGCUCAACUCCAGAACUGCCUUUGAUACUGGCGAUCUCGAGUCCGGAAGAGGUGAGUGGAACUGCGAGUGUAGAGGUGAAAUUCGUAGAUAUUCGCAAGAACACCAGUGGCGAAGGCGGCUCACUGGCCCGGUACUGACGCUGAGGUGCGAAAGCGUGGGGAGCAAACAGG